Molecule: ribosomal RNA, 2636 nt
Filed under: Escherichia coli
Lineage: Bacteria; Pseudomonadati; Pseudomonadota; Gammaproteobacteria; Enterobacterales; Enterobacteriaceae
Description: partial 23S ribosomal RNA
Rfam family: Bacterial large subunit ribosomal RNA
Source: RNAcentral
AUUCCCCCAGUAGCGGCGAGCGAACGGGGAGCAGCCCAGAGCCUGAAUCAGUGUGUGUGUUAGUGGAAGCGUCUGGAAAGGCGCGCGAUACAGGGUGACAGCCCCGUACACAAAAAUGCACAUACUGUGAGCUCGAUGAGUAGGGCGGGACACGUGGUAUCCUGUCUGAAUAUGGGGGGACCAUCCUCCAAGGCUAAAUACUCCUGACUGACCGAUAGUGAACCAGUACCGUGAGGGAAAGGCGAAAAGAACCCCGGCGAGGGGAGUGAAAAAGAACCUGAAACCGUGUACGUACAAGCAGUGGGAGCCUCUUUAUGGGGUGACUGCGUACCUUUUGUAUAAUGGGUCAGCGACUUAUAUUCUGUAGCAAGGUUAACCGAAUAGGGGAGCCGAAGGGAAACCGAGUCUUAACUGGGCGUUAAGUUGCAGGGUAUAGACCCGAAACCCGGUGAUCUAGCCAUGGGCAGGUUGAAGGUUGGGUAACACUAACUGGAGGACCGAACCGACUAAUGUUGAAAAAUUAGCGGAUGACUUGUGGCUGGGGGUGAAAGGCCAAUCAAACCGGGAGAUAGCUGGUUCUCCCCGAAAGCUAUUUAGGUAGCGCCUCGUGAAUUCAUCUCCGGGGGUAGAGCACUGUUUCGGCAAGGGGGUCAUCCCGACUUACCAACCCGAUGCAAACUGCGAAUACCGGAGAAUGUUAUCACGGGAGACACACGGCGGGUGCUAACGUCCGUCGUGAAGAGGGAAACAACCCAGACCGCCAGCUAAGGUCCCAAAGUCAUGGUUAAGUGGGAAACGAUGUGGGAAGGCCCAGACAGCCAGGAUGUUGGCUUAGAAGCAGCCAUCAUUUAAAGAAAGCGUAAUAGCUCACUGGUCGAGUCGGCCUGCGCGGAAGAUGUAACGGGGCUAAACCAUGCACCGAAGCUGCGGCAGCGACACUAUGUGUUGUUGGGUAGGGGAGCGUUCUGUAAGCCUGUGAAGGUGUGCUGUGAGGUAUGCUGGAGGUAUCAGAAGUGCGAAUGCUGACAUAAGUAACGAUAAAGCGGGUGAAAAGCCCGCUCGCCGGAAGACCAAGGGUUCCUGUCCAACGUUAAUCGGGGCAGGGUGAGUCGACCCCUAAGGCGAGGCCGAAAGGCGUAGUCGAUGGGAAACAGGUUAAUAUUCCUGUACUUGGUGUUACUGCGAAGGGGGGACGGAGAAGGCUAUGUUGGCCGGGCGACGGUUGUCCCGGUUUAAGCGUGUAGGCUGGUUUUCCAGGCAAAUCCGGAAAAUCAAGGCUGAGGCGUGAUGACGAGGCACUACGGUGCUGAAGCAACAAAUGCCCUGCUUCCAGGAAAAGCCUCUAAGCAUCAGGUAACAUCAAAUCGUACCCCAAACCGACACAGGUGGUCAGGUAGAGAAUACCAAGGCGCUUGAGAGAACUCGGGUGAAGGAACUAGGCAAAAUGGUGCCGUAACUUCGGGAGAAGGCACGCUGAUAUGUAGGUGAAGUCCCUUGCGGAUGGAGCUGAAAUCAGUCGAAGAUACCAGCUGGCUGCAACUGUUUAUUAAAAACACAGCACUGUGCAAACACGAAAGUGGACGUAUACGGUGUGACGCCUGCCCGGUGCCGGAAGGUUAAUUGAUGGGGUUAGCGGUAACGCGAAGCUCUUGAUCGAAGCCCCGGUAAACGGCGGCCGUAACUAUAACGGUCCUAAGGUAGCGAAAUUCCUUGUCGGGUAAGUUCCGACCUGCACGAAUGGCGUAAUGAUGGCCAGGCUGUCUCCACCCGAGACUCAGUGAAAUUGAACUCGCUGUGAAGAUGCAGUGUACCCGCGGCAAGACGGAAAGACCCCGUGAACCUUUACUAUAGCUUGACACUGAACAUUGAGCCUUGAUGUGUAGGAUAGGUGGGAGGCUUUGAAGUGUGGACGCCAGUCUGCAUGGAGCCGACCUUGAAAUACCACCCUUUAAUGUUUGAUGUUCUAACGUUGGCCCCUGAUCGGGGUUGCGGACAGUGUCUGGUGGGUAGUUUGACUGGGGCGGUCUCCUCCUAAAGAGUAACGGAGGAGCACGAAGGUUGGCUAAUCCUGGUCGGACAUCAGGAGGUUAGUGCAAUGGCAUAAGCCAGCUUGACUGCGAGCGUGACGGCGCGAGCAGGUGCGAAAGCAGGUCAUAGUGAUCCGGUGGUUCUGAAUGGAAGGGCCAUCGCUCAACGGAUAAAAGGUACUCCGGGGAUAACAGGCUGAUACCGCCCAAGAGUUCAUAUCGACGGCGGUGUUUGGCACCUCGAUGUCGGCUCAUCACAUCCUGGGGCUGAAGUAGGUCCCAAGGGUAUGGCUGUUCGCCAUUUAAAGUGGUACGCGAGCUGGGUUUAGAACGUCGUGAGACAGUUCGGUCCCUAUCUGCCGUGGGCGCUGGAGAACUGAGGGGGGCUGCUCCUAGUACGAGAGGACCGGAGUGGACGCAUCACUGGUGUUCGGGUUGUCAUGCCAAUGGCACUGCCCGGUAGCUAAAUGCGGAAGAGAUAAGUGCUGAAAGCAUCUAAGCACGAAACUUGCCCCGAGAUGAGUUCUCCCUGACCCUUUAAGGGUCCUGAAGGAACGUUGAAGACGACGACGUUGAUAGGCCGGGUGUGUAAGCGCAGCGAUGCGUUGA